This 774-nucleotide ribosomal RNA is filed under the name uncultured Neocallimastigales. Its description in RNAcentral is "partial large subunit ribosomal RNA". It matches the Rfam family "Eukaryotic large subunit ribosomal RNA", at positions 22 to 644 of the family's 3401-position model. The record is from RNAcentral. Lineage: Eukaryota; Fungi; Neocallimastigomycota; Neocallimastigomycetes; Neocallimastigales.
UAGAUGCGAGAGUAGAGCAUAUCAAUAAGCGGAGGAAAAGAAACUAACAAGGAUUCCCUUAGUAACGGCGAGUGAAGCGGGAAGAGCUCGAAUCUGAAAUCUUCAAGGUUUUACCUUGACGAAUUGUAGUUUAAAGAAGUGUUUUCUGUUGGAGUUUUGGUAAAAGUUCUUUGGAAUAGGACAUCAUAGAGGGUGAGAAUCCCGUAUUUGACCAUUAUUUCCAGCUGUGUGAUACACUUUCAAAGAGUCGGAUUGUUUGGGAAUGCAGUCCAAAAUGGGUGGUAAAUUUCAUCUAAAGCUAAAUAUUGGCGAGAGACCGAUAGCGAACAAGUACCGUGAGGGAAAGAUGAAAAGAACUUUGAAAAGAGAGUUAAACAGUACGUGAAAUUGUCAAAAGGGAAGCGUUUGACACCAGUGUUGUUUUCUCGAAAAUCAAUUAAAAAUGAUGGGAUUUUGUGUUGUAUUGACUUUAUCAGCUUUCUGCACUUUUUUCUUAUCUUUUUUAAUGCACUUUUCGUUUAACAAGUCAACAUCAAUUUCUUUUGUUGUAAAAGAGUCAUUGGAAGGUGGCUUUUUCUUCGGGAAAAGUGUUUAUAGCCUUUGGCUUCUGCAAUCGGAGAGAUUGAGGUCUGCAGCGUAGAUCCUUCGGGGUUAGAUACAUUUGUGCUAAGCUAUAGUUCUUUAUAGACAACUUGUUGACUAUAAUCAAUCCUGUAACUUACUCGCUUAUGCUAUUUUACCUACGCUUAGGAUGUUGACACACGCGCGUGCUCG